RNAcentral lists this unclassified non-coding RNA (336 nucleotides) under soil metagenome. RNAcentral describes it as "partial contains 5.8S ribosomal RNA, internal transcribed spacer 2, and large subunit ribosomal RNA". The stretch from base 1 to 120 matches the Rfam family "5.8S ribosomal RNA", at positions 35 to 154 of the family's 154-position model. The record is from RNAcentral.
GAUGAAGAACGCAGCGAAAUGCGAUAUGUAGUGUGAAUUGCAGAAUUCAGUGAAUCAUCGAAUCUUUGAACGCACAUUGCGCCCCUUGGUAUUCCAUGGGGCAUGCCUGUUCGAGCGUCAUUUGUACCUUCAAGCUCUGCUUGGUGUUGGGUGUUUGUCUCGCCUCUGCGCGUAGACUCGCCUCAAAACAAUUGGCAGCCGGCGUAUUGAUUUCGGAGCGCAGUACAUCUCGCGCUUUGCACUCAUAACGACGACGUCCAAAAGUACAUUUUUACACUCUUGACCUCGGAUCAGGUAGGGAUACCCGCUGAACUUAAGCAUAUCAAUAAGCGAGGA